This 253-nucleotide ribosomal RNA is filed under the name uncultured bacterium. Its description in RNAcentral is "partial 16S ribosomal RNA". It matches the Rfam family "Bacterial small subunit ribosomal RNA", at positions 524 to 776 of the family's 1533-position model. The record is from RNAcentral.
UACAGAGGUCCCGAGCGUUGUUCGGAUUCACUGGGUUUAAAGGGUGCGUAGGCGGCUUGUUAAGUCAGUGGUGAAAGCCUGCAGCUUAACUGCAGAAUUGCCAUUGAUACUGAUGAUCUUGAGUACAGUUGAGGUGGGCGGAAUGUGUCAUGUAGCGGUGAAAUGCUUAGAUAUGACACAGAACACCGAUUGCGAAGGCAGCUCGCUAAGCUGUAACUGACGCUGAGGCACGAAAGCGUGGGGAUCAAACAGG